RNAcentral lists this ribosomal RNA (397 nucleotides) under Botuliforma sp. RNAcentral's name for it is "partial small subunit ribosomal RNA". It matches the Rfam family "Eukaryotic small subunit ribosomal RNA", at positions 582 to 975 of the family's 1831-position model. Lineage: Eukaryota; Cercozoa; Thecofilosea; Ebriacea. The record is from RNAcentral.
AUUCCAGCUCCAAUAGCGUAUAUUAAAGUUGUUGCAGUUAAAAAGCUCGUAGUUGGAUUUCUGGUCUGAUGCCCUGGAUCACGCUCGUUUCGAGUGUGUUUGCCGGUCGUGCGUCUACCAUCCUUCCAGGGAACGUGUCUACCUUUAACUAGGACGGGCACGGGAUCUGGAUCUUUUACUUUGAAAAAAUUAGAGUGUUUAAAGCAGGCUUUGGCUAUGAAUACAUUAGCAUGGAAUAAUAAUCUAGGACUUCGGUUCUAUUUUGUUGGUUUCUAGUACUGAAGUAAUGAUUGAUAGGGAUAGUUGGGGGUGCUAGUAUUGAGCGGCCAGAGGUGAAAUUCUUGGAUUCGCUCAAGACUAACUUAUGCGAAAGCAUUCACCAAGGAUGUCUUCAUCG